AGCGAACGCUGGCGGCAGGCUUAACACAUGCAAGUCGAACGGGCUUCUUCGGAAGUCAGUGGCAGACGGGUGAGUAACACGUGGGAACGUGCCCUUCGGUUCGGAAUAACUCAGGGAAACUUGAGCUAAUACCGGAUACGCCCUUUUGGGGAAAGGUUGACUGCCGAAGGAUCGGCCCGCGUCUGAUUAGCUUGUUGGUGGGGUAACGGCCUACCAAGGCGACGAUCAGUAGCUGGUCUGAGAGGAUGAUCAGCCACACUGGGACUGAGACACGGCCCAGACUCCUACGGGAAGCAGCAGUGGGGAAUAUUGGACAAUGGGCGCAAGCCUGAUCCAGCCAUGCCGCGUGAGUGAUGAAGGCCUUAGGGUUGUAAAGCUCUUUUGUCCGGGACGAUAAUGACGGUACCGGAAGAAUAAGCCCCGGCUAACUUCGUG
Molecule: ribosomal RNA, 435 nt
Filed under: uncultured bacterium
Lineage: Bacteria
Description: partial 16S ribosomal RNA
Rfam family: Bacterial small subunit ribosomal RNA
Source: RNAcentral